UUUGAUAUUGUCUUCUGCAGAGCAAAUAAAUUCUGGAAAACCGUCAGCUGAAGUUGUGUGUCUUCUCACCCUA
Molecule: long non-coding RNA, 73 nt
Organism: Sander lucioperca (pikeperch)
Lineage: Eukaryota; Metazoa; Chordata; Actinopteri; Perciformes; Percidae
Exons: 3
Source: RefSeq, a predicted model, not a curated record